AUGGAUUUAAGGAAAUCCAGAAGAAUUGGGGUGGGUUUAGGGAAAUCAAAGAGAAUUGGGGUAGAUUUAGGGAGAUCCAGGGGAACUGGGGUGGAUUUAGGGAAAUGCAGGAGAGGUAGGGUGGAUUUAGGGAAAUUUAGAAGUGGGGUGGGUUUAGGGAAUUCCAGGAGAAGGGAGGUGGAUUUAGAGAAAUCCAGGAAAGAAAGGGAAGGAUUCAGGGAAAUCCAGAAGUGGGGUGGAUUUAGGGAAUUCCAAGGGAAUUGGGAUGGAUUUAAGGAAAUCCAGAAGAAUUGGGGUGGAUUUAGGGAAAUCCAAGAGAAAUGGGGUGGAUUUAGGGAAUUCCAGGAAAGAAGGGGAUGGAUUUAGGGAAAUUCAGAAGUGAGGUGGAUUUAGGGAAAUUCAGGAAAAAUCUAGGGUUUAGAGGAAUCCAGGGGAACUGGGGUGGGUUCAGGGAAUUACAGAAGUGGGGUGGAUUUAGGGAAAUCCAGAAGUGAGGUGGAUUUAGGGAAUUCCAAGGGAAUUGGGAUGGGUUUAGGGAAAUCCAGGAGUAGGAGGGUGGAUUUGGGGAAAUUCAGGAGAGAAGGGGACGGAUUUAAGGAAAUCCAGAAGAAUUGGGGUGGGUUUAGGGAAAUGGAGGAGAACUGGGGUGGAUUUAAGGAAUUCCAGGAGAAUUGAGGUGGAUUUAGGGAAAUUUAGGGGAAUUGGGGUGGAUUUAGGGAAAUCCUGAAGAAUUGGGGUGGGUUUAGGGAAAUUUAGGAGAAGUGGGGUGGGUUUAGGGAAAUGCAGGAGAAAUGGGGUGGAUUUGGGGAAAUUCAGGACAAUUGGGGUGGGUUCAGGGAAUUCCAGGGGAACUGGGGUGGAUUUAGGGAAAUGCAGAAUUGGGGUGAAUUUGGGGAAAUGCAGAAGAGGGGUAGGUGGAGAAAUGGGGUGGAUUUAGGGAAUUCCAGGAGAGAAGGGGACGGAUUUAGGGAAAUGCAGAAGUGAGGUGGAUUUAGGGAAAUUCAGGAGAAAUCUAGGGUUUAGAGGAAUCCAGGAGAGGUCGGGUGGGUUCAGGGAAUUACAGGAGAAUUGGGGUGGAUUUAGGGAAAUCCAGAAGUGUGGGAUGGGUUUAGGGAAUUCCAAGGGAAUUGGGAUGGGUUUAGGGAAAUCCAGGAGUAGGAGGGUGGAUUUGGGGAAAUUCAGGAGAAUUGGGAUGGGUUCAGGGAAUUCCAGGGGGGCUCAGGGAAUUCCAGAUGAAUUGGGGUGCGUUUAAGGGAUUCCAGGGGAGA
This 1268-nucleotide long non-coding RNA is filed under the name Zonotrichia albicollis (white-throated sparrow). RNAcentral's name for it is "lncRNA (ENSZALG00000002666.1)". The record is from RNAcentral. Lineage: Eukaryota; Metazoa; Chordata; Aves; Passeriformes; Passerellidae.